RNAcentral lists this unclassified non-coding RNA (2746 nucleotides) under Hevea brasiliensis (rubber tree). The record is from RNAcentral. Lineage: Eukaryota; Viridiplantae; Streptophyta; Magnoliopsida; Malpighiales; Euphorbiaceae.
AAAAAAAAAAAAAAAAAAAAUCAUCUAUUAGCAAAAGCAACAGCAGAACACUCACAUGGUGACAAUGAAACAUGUUCCAAUCCCUUAUAUGCAGACCAGAAAUAUUCAGCACAAGACCAAGGUUAUAUGGCUAUCCAAUAACCAGAACAUAGUUUCAUUUGAGAAAUUGCCAAAAAAAGAGGCAGAGGCAAUGCAGCUCAAAUCAUGUGAAACGUCCAUAUUUGAACAAGCAUUUUGUCAGCAGGUAGAUAUUAGGUUGGAACAGAGCCUUUGUACCAAAAAUGAGCUAAAACAACAACAUAUCUUGUAUUCAAAAUUUUUGUCAGUAAUCAUUUUAUCAAACAAAAUCUACUUUUCAUUCAAGCAUUAUAUAUAAUGCAUGCUGUCCCAACUUCUAACUACUUUUUCAUUUUGUCCCAAUAUUUGAUUUAAUUAAAUGCAUUAAUUUCUCACUUUUUCAUCUGUAAUUAAACCUACAAAUGUUGAUGUCAGAAAAGAGCAGAAACAUGGCCAUAACCAGACAAUUUCACUAGUGAUAAGCAUCCAUAGUUUCUAAGUAAAUUGUUAAGGGACCACAAGAGACCAUCUGAAUAUAAAAAAUAAUCUACAUUUACUUGCAUAAAGAUGCAAGAACAUAAAACAAACUAAGAAGCUGAACAAGAGUAACACACCCGAGAAUUCAUAAUUUUCUGGCAUCAGGCGUAUUAUUGCAAGAAAGAAGGAAAAGAGAACCAUAACCACAACGUAUUUACCUCACAAAAGUUACGAAGGAGAUGAUGAAAGUACAAAGAACUGAACUAUGCCUUUGAAUGGCAGCAGUACAAAACUCCAUUGUAAAAGACUCAAAUAACUUUGUCAAUGAUACUCAAACUUUACAUCACAGACCAUAGUUGCAAUGCCUCUGUCAGUAGAAAUAUACAAGAAAUAGCACAACCUAGUCACCAUUCUUAGCUGCGUGGUUCUUGUUUUUUAUCAGCUGUUCAAACAAAUAAAUAGUUUCACAAAAUGCAACCAUGAAAGAGGGAAGGAAAAAAAAGCAUAGAGUCAAGCAUAAAUGAAAGUGGUAGUUCCCUUCCAGAAAAGGGGAAAAAGAAAGGACUUGCAUGGAACAUAAAUGAGCAAAAACUGAAGUAUUUCCUUUUAUAUAAUUACUCUUUUCAUUUUGCUGAGUUGCAAGAAGAACAAAAAUUAAAUGAGCACCAAACCUUGAAAAAGUACUUCUUACGAAGUUUGAUCUCUGUGCGUAUGCAUCUUUUGACAUGGAUCUUUGGCAGUUUAUCAUUGAAAAUCAGUACUUGACAGAAGAAAAAUUGAGGAUUAUUGAUAAUAUAAAGCUCUUCUUAUCCCAAAAAAGGGUCACAUACUGCUCACAGUAACUAGAUGAAGCAAGUGUAAAAGUAAUUGACAGUAAUGCACCAGCCUUUAUCAUAUCAUCUAUUGAGCGAGUCUCCCUGAUGAUUUUCUGACUGUUCAUGAUAAGAAUUGCCGCCACACAGAAACGGGUAAUUCAUCAUCUCCUUUUUUGGUUGAUGAGACUACAGUAAUAAUCUGCAUGCGGUCACUCCUUGACCAAAAAUUCCUUGUCAAACACUCAAACCACAGAAGUGAUAAGCUGAUGCUGACUUCAUUGCAGUGUCCUCAGACAUGGACUGCUCCAUAUUUCCAUGCUUAAUCUGUGAACCAUCAUUUGAACUACCAUUGCCAUUUUCUGUGAUUUCUUUUAUUUCCCCUCCAGAAUCCCUUGGAAGUUGUAGCACCACUGCCUCCAGGCAGUUCUCCUCUAAAUCACAGGUCAAUGAUUCAUCAAAAUCAGCAGCCCACAUCAUCUGUAUUAAGGAUGAUCUCAUAAAAGUCAGAUCUAUUAAAGCCAACUCUGAAAAUUCAGAAAGUUAUUAUCUUCCAUCAUUUCAUGGUGCUAAUCAUCUCCAAAGACAUUUAAAAGACCAUGAAUAUAAAUUCGCCGCAAGAAGAUGAAGGGGUCAACAAACACCUAUCAGUCAAGUUUAUAAUUGUCUUCCAACUAUGCUGAAACCAACUCAUGGUAAUAUAUCCAUGGUUAAAACACAUAAUCUCUUUGCAGAAAUGUCCGAUCCUGGAAAAAUUAGCAAUUUCAGGUUCAGUUCUCUUUCAAUGUCAUCUACAAAGGUCAAAAUAUUGGGCAAGUGUUCUAACAAUAAAAGUAUUUGGAUUAACCUCAAGCAUGUUAAUAUCAAAAUUGUGUCAAUCUAUUCUAACACAAGAAAAUCAAUCUCAUAUCAUGAAUCAACCUGCAAACUUGAAAACAACAUUUUAUGGCGUGAAUAUAUGUAUCAAGUUGGUACAACUAUUGCCAUAACCAUUUUAAUAAAAUACCAGUUACAUAUAACCCAUUAUGCAUAUUCAUUAUUCAAUUGUUAACUUUAAUUUACUUUUGUUACUGUAGAAACUAAAGAAGAAAAGAACAAAUAAAACCAAGCAUAUAAUUGUAAUUGCAUCAUUUUAAACGGGUCAUACCAUUUUGAAAGUUGACAAAUUAAGAACAAUAGUACAUUUCAUUCUUGUUAUUGAAAUAUGUUGACUCAAUACAGUUAUACCACAACUUUUGGCAGAAUAUAUCAGAUGCACAUGAACUACCACUUCUAUUUGUCUACCAAAAUUUACAAUAUAAUACGUAUUCUAAUACCAAAAUUUACAAUAUAAUAUGUAUUCUAAGACAUAAGGUCCUUUAAAUUAUCAUUUCUUCUAGUGUAACAGAGCGAGACAUUGA